RNAcentral lists this ribosomal RNA (468 nucleotides) under uncultured bacterium. RNAcentral describes it as "partial 16S ribosomal RNA". It matches the Rfam family "Bacterial small subunit ribosomal RNA", at positions 28 to 507 of the family's 1533-position model. The record is from RNAcentral.
GACGAACGCUGGCGGCGUGCUUAACACAUGCAAGUCGAACGGAAAGGCCCUGCUUUUGUGGGGUGCUCGAGUGGCGAACGGGUGAGUAACACGUGAGUAACCUGCCCUUGACUUUGGGAUAACUUCAGGAAACUGGGGCUAAUACCGGAUAGGAGCUCCUGCUGCAUGGUGGGGGUUGGAAAGUUUCGGCGGUUGGGGAUGGACUCGCGGCUUAUCAGCUUGUUGGUGGGGUAGUGGCUUACCAAGGCUUUGACGGGUAGCCGGCCUGAGAGGGUGACCGGCGACAUUGGGACUGAGAGAGGGACCAGACGGCUAUGGGAGGCAGUAGUGGGGAAUAUUGCACAAUGGGCGGAAGCGUGAUGCAGCAACGCCGCGUGCGGGAUGACGGCCUUCGGGGUGUAAACCGCUUUCGCCUGUGACGAAGCGUGAGUGACGGUAAUGGGUAAAGAAGCACCGGCUAACUACGUG